Molecule: ribosomal RNA, 253 nt
Filed under: uncultured bacterium
Lineage: Bacteria
Description: partial 16S ribosomal RNA
Rfam family: Bacterial small subunit ribosomal RNA
Source: RNAcentral
UACAGAGGGUGCGAGCGUUAAUCGGAAUUACUGGGCGUAAAGCGCACGUAGGUGGCGACGUAAGUCGGGUGUGAAAGCCCCGGGCUCAACCUGGGAAGUGCAUUCGAGACUGCAUUGCUGGAGUACGGAAGAGGAGGGCGGAAUUCCCGGUGUAGCGGUGAAAUGCGUAGAUAUCGGGAGGAACAUCAGUGGCGAAGGCGGCCCUCUGGUCCAGUACUGACACUCAAGUGCGAAAGCGUGGGGAGCAAACAGG